Molecule: unclassified non-coding RNA, 369 nt
Filed under: soil metagenome
Description: partial contains 5.8S ribosomal RNA, internal transcribed spacer 2, and large subunit ribosomal RNA
Rfam family: 5.8S ribosomal RNA (bases 1-120)
Source: RNAcentral
GAUGAAGAACGUAGCGAAAUGCGAUAAGUAAUGUGAAUUGCAGAAUUCAGUGAAUCAUCGAAUCUUUGAACGCACCUUGCGCUCCUUGGUAUUCCGAGGAGCAUGCCUGUUUGAGUGUCAUUAAAUUCUCAACCUUAUCAGUUUAUUUCUGAUAGUGGCUUGGAUGUGGGGGGUUUCUUGCUGGCUGACGUCGGCUCCCCUUAAAUGGAUUAGCUGGUGCCCCGUGUGGACUGUCUAUUGGUGUGAUAAUUAUCUACAUCUUAGACAUCUGCUGGAAUGCUGCUUUCUAAACCUUACUUGUAUUGACAAUCUUGACCUCAAAUCAGGUAGGACUACCCGCUGAACUUAAGCAUAUCAAUAAGCGGAGGA